RNAcentral lists this ribosomal RNA (372 nucleotides) under uncultured Glomus. RNAcentral's name for it is "SSU rRNA". It matches the Rfam family "Eukaryotic small subunit ribosomal RNA", at positions 569 to 951 of the family's 1831-position model. The record is from RNAcentral. Lineage: Eukaryota; Fungi; Glomeromycota; Glomeromycetes; Glomerales; Glomeraceae.
AGCAGCCGCGGUAAUUCCAGCUCCAAUAGCGUAUAUUAAAGUUGUUGCAGUUAAAAAGCUCGUAGUUGAAUUUCGGGGUCAGUAGAUUGGUCGUGCCACUGGUACGUACUGGUCUUACUGAUUCCUCCCUCCUGAUGAACUGUAAUGCCAUUAAUUUGGUGUUGCAGGGAAUCUGGACUGUUACUUUGAAAAAAUUGAGUGUUUAAAGCAGGCUAACGCUUGAAUACAUUAGCAUGGAAUAAUGAAAUGGACGUUGAUCCUAUUUUGUGGUUUCUAGGAUUGACGUAUGAUUAAUAGGGAUAGUUGGGGCAUUAGUAUUCAAUUGUCAGAGGUGAAAUUCUUGGAUUUAUUGAAGACUAACUACUGCGAAAG